UCCAACGCGCUUGAAUGUAAAACCAGAUAAAAGUUUCGCCUUUGUUCGUGUUCAACUCCAGACAGUUUCGGUUGGUAAUAAGCCUUAAGUUGAUGCAGUGUGGAAUUCCAUCGCCAAAGUAACUUAUUCAGUGAACGGAAUCAUGAGAAUAAAUACACACAUAUAUAAAGAAUCUGAACAAUACCGUACAGCCUAACUCGGUGGAUUCAGAAAUUCGAAAUUAGACAAGCAUAUAUUUUUUAAGUUCUCUAGGGUUUUUUUAGGGAUAUUUCGAUGAAUUUAUUGAAUUCCAUCCUUAAUGGGAUGAAAGUAGGGGUUAAAGUAAUUGAUGUAACUGGUGGACCCUCGAAAUUUAAAAUUUGGAAGAAAUAUUGGAGUUGUAGGUAAGAAGGGAUUUUUGAAAUUCCAUCCCUCUAUGGAUGGAAAAAGGUGUUAAACGAUUUGAUUGAUAGACAACGCACCGCCUAAAUUGGUGGACCUAGAAAUUUGAAAUUUGGAAGAAGUAUUGCUUGAAUCUCCUGGAGAUGUAGUAGGUAAGAAGGGAUUUUUGAAAUUCCAUCCUUCCAUGGAUGGAAAAAGGUGUUAAACGAUUUGAUUGAUAGACAACGCACCGCCUAAAUUGGUGGACCUAGAAAUUUGAAUUUUGGAAGAAGUAUUCCUUGAAUCUCCUGGAGAUGUAGUAGGUAAGAAGGGAUUUUUGAAAUUCCAUCCUUCCAUGGAUGGAAAAAGGUGUUAAACGAUUUGAUUGACAGCAACGCACAGCCUAAAUUGGUGGACCUAGAAAUUUGAAUUUUGGAAGAAGUAUUCCUUGAAUCUCCUGGAGAUGUAGUAGGUAAGAAGGGAUUUUUGAAAUUCCAUCCUUCCAUGAAUGGAAAAAGGUGUUAAUAGAUUUGAUUGACAGACAAUACACAGCCUAAAUUAGUGGACCUAGAAAUUUGAAAUUUGGAAGAGUAUCCUACUACAUCGGUAAAAAGGGAUUUUUGAAAUUCUAUCCUUCCAUGGAUGGAAAAAGGUGUGAAAUAUGAAAUUUGGAACAAGUAUUCCUUGAGUAUCCUGAGGAUGUAAUAGACAGCGCACCGCCUAAACUAGUGGACCUAGAAAUUUGAAAUUUGGAAGAAGUAUUCCUUGAGUGUCCUGGAGAUGUAAUAGGUGAGACGGGAUUUUUCAAAUUCCAUCCCUCUAUGGAUGGAAAAAGGUGUUAAUAGAUUUGAUUGACAGACAACGCACAGCCUAAAUUGGUGGACCUAGAAAUUUGAAAUUUGGAGAAAACAUUCCUUGAUUAUUCUAGGGAUAUUGUGGUAGGAAGGGAACUUGUAGGCAGCAGGUGCGUCUUAUAUCCAAGCAUAAUAACAAUUUAGGAAUGUUCUGCAUAAACUGCGUAAGAGUUUUUACUGGUACAAAAUUUAAAUGUUUGCCAAAUCAUAUCUGGAAAGUUCUACCUGUUUGCCCUGUUUAAAUUUUUGUAGUAGAUACACUUUAAUAAAUAAACCACUGCAUU
This is a long non-coding RNA of Agrilus planipennis (emerald ash borer), 1498 nucleotides long. RefSeq lists it as uncharacterized. The record is from RefSeq and is a predicted model, not a curated record. Lineage: Eukaryota; Metazoa; Arthropoda; Insecta; Coleoptera; Buprestidae. The transcript has 2 exons.